GGAGCACAUGGGCGGAGAAAAAGUUUUUUUUUUGGGGGGGAAAAGGUAGUACACUGCCCACUUCAUUCAUUAAAAUUAUGAAUUUAGCAACAUCGGUAAGGUAGCAAAUUAAAACCUCAACAAAAGGAAAAGAAAAGGGUUAAGAAAGAUGAUUUUUAGACGAGAAAAUAGUCUCCCACAGGAUCACCAUCUUCCUGAUCUUGGCUACCGUUCUUCUGGGGUCUACGAAAAUGUUUCUAAAGAUAGCGUUGUUCCUUAAAUCCCAGAUGACCCACUAGUAAGCUGCCAGACUAAUCAUUCUAGUUCGGAUAAGCUGUGAUUUGUUCCUAAUCACCCGCCUGUCCCACAAGCAUCUCACAUCAUCUCCCAAAUCCCUAAGUUGAACCCCCUCUAGUGUCAUCACAAUUAGAAAUUUACUAAUAAUAUAUUGUGUGAAUAGGUGAUCCAAUGUUUCCUUUUCGACUCCACAAAGCACACAAUUUGUGCUUUCAGUCCAUCCUCUUUUCAAAAGAUUAUCCAUUGUAGGUGUUUUCUUUUUGAGGACUAGCUAAGUAAAUACUCUCACUUUU
This 569-nucleotide long non-coding RNA is filed under the name Ananas comosus (pineapple). RNAcentral describes it as "long non-coding RNA (ACOM_LNC014140)". Lineage: Eukaryota; Viridiplantae; Streptophyta; Magnoliopsida; Poales; Bromeliaceae. The record is from RNAcentral.